UCGGGAAUUUUGGGCAAUGGGCGAAAGCCUGACCCAGCAACGCCGCGUGAAGGAUGAAGUAUUUCGGUAUGUAAACUUCGAAAGAAUAGGAAGAAUAAAUGACGGUACUAUUUAUAAGGUCCGGCUAACUACGUGCCAGCAGCCGCGGUAAUACGUAGGGACCAAGCGUUGUUCGGAUUUACUGGGCGUAAAGGGCUCGUAGGCGGCCAACUAAGUCAGACGUGAAAUCCCUCGGCUUAACCGGGGAACUGCGUCUGAUACUGGAUGGCUUGAAUCCGGGAGAGGGAUGCGGAAUUCCAGGUGUAGCGGUGAAAUGCGUAGAUAUCUGGAGGAACACCGGUGGCGAAGGCGACAUCCUGGACCAAUUCUGACGCUGAGGAGCGAAAGCCAGGGGAGCAAACGGGAUUAGAUACCCUCGUAGUCCCUGAGCGGGCUGGCAAGGCG
Molecule: ribosomal RNA, 444 nt
Filed under: uncultured bacterium
Lineage: Bacteria
Description: bacterial SSU rRNA
Rfam family: Bacterial small subunit ribosomal RNA
Source: RNAcentral